GAAAGCAAUUAUCAAAGAAACUUUCAGAUUGCAUCCGGCAGUCCCCCUACUCUUGCCCAGCAAAGCAGGGGUAGACGUAGAAAUCUGUGGCUUUACAGUUCCUAAAGGUGCUCAAUUGUUGGUCUAUGCAUGGGCCAUAGGUAGGGACCCAAGUCUUUGGGAGGAUCCAGUGUUGUUUAUGCCAGAGAGAUUCUUGGGUUCGGAUAUGGAUGUUCGAGGGUGUGAUUUUGAGCUUAAUCCUUUUGGUGCUGGACGGCGAAUUUGCCCUGGAUUGCCAUUGGGAAUCAGAAUGUUACACUUAAUGUUGGGAUCACUGAUCCAUUCCUUUGAUUGGAAACUUGAAGAUGGGAUUACA
This 355-nucleotide unclassified non-coding RNA is filed under the name Hevea brasiliensis (rubber tree). The record is from RNAcentral. Lineage: Eukaryota; Viridiplantae; Streptophyta; Magnoliopsida; Malpighiales; Euphorbiaceae.